UACGGGGGGGGCAAGCGUUGUUCGGAAUUACUGGGCGUAAAGGGGUUGUAGGCGGCCAACUAAGUCCGACGUGAAAUCCCAAGGCUUAACCUUGGAACUGCGUCGGAUACUGGAUGGCUUGAAUUCGGGAGAGGGAUGCAGAAUUCCAGGUGUAGCGGUGAAAUGCGCAGAUAUCAGGAGGAACACCAAUGGCGAAGGCAGCUCGCUGGAACGGAACUGACGCUGAGGCGCGAAAGCGUGGGGAGCGAACAGG
This 253-nucleotide ribosomal RNA is filed under the name uncultured bacterium. Its description in RNAcentral is "partial 16S ribosomal RNA". It matches the Rfam family "Bacterial small subunit ribosomal RNA", at positions 524 to 776 of the family's 1533-position model. The record is from RNAcentral.